GUAGCUCAACUGGUAGAGCAACUGACUUGUAAUCAGUAGGUUGGGGGUUCAAGUCCUCUUGCCGGCACCA
This 70-nucleotide transfer RNA is filed under the name Priestia megaterium. RNAcentral's name for it is "Bacillus megaterium tRNA-Thr". It matches the Rfam family "tRNA". From Rfam's summary of the family: Transfer RNA (tRNA) molecules are approximately 80 nucleotides in length. Their secondary structure includes four short double-helical elements and three loops (D, anti-codon, and T loops). Lineage: Bacteria; Bacillati; Bacillota; Bacilli; Caryophanales; Bacillaceae. The record is from RNAcentral.